UGGGGAAUAUUGCACAAUGGAGGGAACUCUGAUGCAGCGACGCCGCGUGAACGAAGAAGGCUUUCGAGUCGUAAAGUUCUUUCAUAUGGGAAGAUAAUGACGGUACCAUAAGAAAAAGCCUCGGCUAACUACGUGCCAGCAGCCGCGGUAAUACGUAGGGGGCUAGCGUUGUCCGGAAGCACUGGGCGUAAAGGGUUCGCAGGCGGAAAUGCAAGUCAGGUGUAAAAGGCAGUAGCUUAACUACUGUAAGCAUUUGAAACUGCAUAUCUUGAGAAGAGUAGAGGUAAGUGGAAUUUUUAGUGUAGCGGUGAAAUGCGUAGAUAUUAAAAAGAAUACCGGUGGCGAAGGCGACUUACUGGGCUCAUUCUGACGCUGAGGAACGAAAGCGUGGGUAGCAAACAGG
Molecule: ribosomal RNA, 403 nt
Filed under: Bacteroidota bacterium
Lineage: Bacteria; Pseudomonadati; Bacteroidota
Description: Bacteroidetes bacterium partial 16S ribosomal RNA
Rfam family: Bacterial small subunit ribosomal RNA
Source: RNAcentral